UAGUCCACGCCCUAAACGAUGUUUACUCGAUGUUUGGACUUCGGUUUGAGCAUCCAAGGGAAACCAUUAAGUAAACCACCUGGGGAGUACGUUCGCAAGAAUGAGACUCAAAGGAAUUGACGGGGGCCCGCACAAGCGGUGGAGCAUGUGGUUUAAUUCGAUGAUACGCGAGGAACCUUACCAGGGCUUAAAUGUAGAUUGCAUUAGUUAGAGAUAGCUAUUUCUUCGGACUAUCUACAAGGUGCUGCAUGGUUGUCGUCAGCUCGUGCCGUGAGGUGUCAGGUUAAGUCCUAUAACGAGCGCAACCCCUGUUGUUAGUUGCCAACAUGUAAAGAUGGGAACUCUAACAAGACUGCCGGUGCAAACCGUGAGGAAGGUGGGGAUGACGUCAAAUCAUCACGGCCCUUACGUCCUGGGCUACACACGUGCUACAAUGGUAGGGACAGAGAGCAGCCACUUGGCGACAAGGAGCGAAUCUAUAAACCCUAUCACAGUUCGGAUCGGAGUCUGCAA
RNAcentral lists this ribosomal RNA (513 nucleotides) under uncultured bacterium. Its description in RNAcentral is "bacterial SSU rRNA". It matches the Rfam family "Bacterial small subunit ribosomal RNA", at positions 791 to 1310 of the family's 1533-position model. The record is from RNAcentral.